UUUCUGUCUUCCCUGUCCUCUGCUCUCAGACUGUAAUAGAUACCUGCUCUUACGAAGGCAUUCAGAAUUACACAUGCAGAAUUACAACCACACAACAUUAAGUACAGUUGAGGUUGCUGUUUCAUGCCUGAAAACCUGGAACACUAUGUGUCUGUGUAUGUUACAUAUAUGUAUACAGCAUCAAGGGACAUCAAUAUUUCUGUUUUUAAUAUACAUUACACUGAAGAAAAUUACUUCAAAUAAGCGCCAAAGUAAAGUCAUUUCCACUGAUGAUUAUAUUUUAUGCAUAUUAGUGUCUCAGUAAUGUGCUGUGCCAUAUUUGAUUAUACUCACCAUUUGUAGUCUCUAUAACUUGUCCUUUCUAUAGCAGUACAUGUACUCAGUUUUUCAAAAUCAGAAAACAUUAUCCCUAACUUCCCCAACAGAUCAUAGUAUUUUGAUACCUUGUAUUCUACUUACCCAUUUAAUGCUCAGAGUUUUUGAAGUAUCCAUCCAUUAACUAUUACGUAAUUAACUAUAUAUGCCAACACUCUUACAAAAGGUUUUAUACUGGAACAUACCCAUCCAGCUAUUUCAUAUAACCAACUGAAAGGAUAUAGCCUGCAUGUGCAACUGUUACUAAUUAAAAAAAAAUAGCUCAUAUCAAGAUGGUCUGUUUUUAAGGAAGACUUUCAAGAGUGAAAGAGUAUUUUAAAAUCAUGUAGGUUUUUGUUGAGGGGAGGGGAGGGUCAUACAGUUGCCAGCGCUUACUCUUGGGAGCUGCUAACCAUGGGAAAGUAUAUUUACACUCCUUUCUUGCUGCCAGCAAGGCUUAGAGGAGUAGCCCAUCUGCUGUCACCUAGCACUGACUGUCGGGGCAGACAUGUUUGUCUUAUUCUGAAGUCCAGUAUCAAGAAUCAUCUGCUCAUAGAUCAAAGCUUAAUCCUCCAAUCCAGCCUUUUGAGUAUAAAAGUAAUAUUCUGCUUGUCAAUCUACUAAUUCGUUAGUUUUACAUGUUGUCUGGAAUUUGAAUGAAGAGGACAGUUGCUGUUUUAUUUUUUCAACAACUCUAACUUUCUCUGCUGAAUUUCAACUUAUGAUAGGAUAGGAAAGGGUGAACAAGACAAUAACUGAUGUGAUCAAGUGAGAUGUGCAGCAUAUAUCCUUGUUCAGUGACACCCUUUGCAUUUAGUAUGCUCUGAGAUACAGACAGCUUAGGGGGAUACAUUUGGAGAAGACUCUAGGACUCCUAACUCCCCAUGAGGCAGUUUGUUUGUUUGUAAUUGGGUUUUGCUAACAAUACUAUUUUGGUCAAAGCUGGCAUUUUUAGGUUUGGGGCACCUUUGUUUUUACAAUGACAAGUUACCUUUAUAAGUUGGGACGGUGUCCAACUUCCCUUUUUGAACUGGUUGUCUUUCCACAGGCCGGACUUUCACCACAGGCUGUACUUCGUAAGGAUUAAAAUCUCGCUUGUAGGUAGUCCCAAGAUCAAUUUUCCCCUGUUUGGGUUUAUACUCUUCCGGAAUAUGGCGAGGCUGCUUGACUACUUCGUAAGGACGAUAAUCUGACCUGAAAUAUAUAUAGAUGUGUGUGUAUGUGUGUGUGUGUGUGUGUGUGUGUGUGUGUGUGUGUGUGUGUGUGAGAAACUCAGUCUCACUGGUUCUUAUGUUUUGAUUAUCACAGUACUAAAAUCUUCAAUUCUGUCUUACUUGAACAAUCUAAGGAGAUAUUAAAAUGGUAAUAAUUGAUUAUUUGAAAGGAGCAAUUGAAUUGUUUUUAAGGUUCUAUCCAAUGAUAAGAAAAAACAAAAAAUCCUAGUUUUUAAAAAUUGAAACAUCUCAAUUUGAUCUUGUAAGUAAAAUUCUCAAGUAACUGAAUUUUAUUUUUUAUCUAAUGUAGAAGGAAAUCUCAAAAGAAAGAUUUGAUGAGCUGAUAAAUUUGUCAAGAUUAGUUCUGUAUCCACUUUGUCAAAAGCUACAUUCACCUAUAUAGACUAUACCCAGGCAUAGUGCCUUCCUAUGAAGUCACAAUAUCUUCCUGUGCAUUGUUAAAAAGAUCACUAACUCUGGCUCAUAGUACAGAUGUGAGCCUUACUAAGACUCUGGAUCUCUCAGAAGUCCUGGCCAUAGGUAGGAGUGAAAUGGCAAUCUAACUAUCCUGUGCAUUAUAUAACAUCACUGUGACAGAGUUGGUACUGCAGGGGCUGAGACAGUCCACUGGAAUGAAGGAAACCAGAGAGAUUCAAGACCAACUGGACUGUCUGAAUCCAAAUCCUGGCUCUGUCACUCAACAGCUGUAUAACCUUGGAUAACUUAGUUAACCUGUCCAUGCCCUUGUUUCCUUAUAAGUAAAGUUGGACGAUAUUAUGAUGUACAUCACAGUUAUUUUAAAGAUACACACUGUCAAUUCUGGCAGUCACCUAACUGAGCUACAAUUAUGCUUUCAAGAUAAAAAAUCUUACACAAGUUCACACAGUCUCUUCCUGUGUUAUAGAAACAUAUAGUAUAGAAUGAUACUUAUUCUUUAUACAGAUAAAUCACCCUUCAAUUUCCUAGUCACUGCGAUCAACACAAGCAAAAUCAUGCCAGAGUUCUAAGGCCCUGCUUUUAGGAAUGUUGGGUACCUACUCUAGGUAAUGGGUAUGGUAAUAGGUUCCUGAGGAAAGAACGCUGAGAAAACAAUAGAUGUACAUCCUGCUGGUGUGGAACACUGAACUGACUCUAAUAACAAAUUGGAAGAUAUUAUGAGAAGUUAUGAGAGGGAUAUUUACUUGGCCUCAAAAGCUAAAUAAAUAAAAGGUAGGGUGGCAGAGAUGACAUUUACAAAGGAAAAUUGUGUUGAUAUUUACAGAUCAGAUGAGUAUUAGCUAGGGAAAGAGGGAGGGAGAAUUCCAAACAGGGGGGAAAAAACUAGAGAAGCAAGCAGGGUUUGAUAAUCCAUGUAGUAGUUAUGGAAGGGAUUGAGUCUAUGCUAAACAACAGGAACGCUUUAAAGUAUUUCAAGCAGGAUCAUGAAUAGGAUUAAAUCUGCAUGGCUUAAAAGAUUGCCUUGGUAGGCUAAUGUAUUGGAUACCAAUCAGAGAUGUAAAAACUAGGACACACACAUAUACAUACCCACACAUACAUGCUUGUAUGCACAUGCACGAGUAUAAACACCCCCACACACCCCCACAAACAAAAAAAUUAGGAAGAGGCAUUCCUCUAGAUGGUGGUUACAGUGCCAAGUACAUAAAAUGAGAUAUUUUAAUCAAUUAAAAAAAUAAACAAAACCUUUUGUUUUUUCCUUUUCUUCUCUUUGCCAAAGUAACUUAAUUUCUACCUUUCUGUUUUUCUCAAGUCAUAAUCAGUUUUUGCUUCUCAAAUUAGUUCAACUUAAUUCAACUAGCUAGUUAAAUUUAAAUAGUAAGAAAACUUAAGUUCAGAAGAGUUGGGCAGAAAAAUAAGGAAACUGUUUCUAAAUAUUUACUUAAAUGUAGUUAUUCCUUCCAUUUUACCACGGUAUGCUUGAAAUUCUUGCUUGGGUUUAAGACUCUGAGGUGGAAGAACAUUGCCAUAUUUUGGAUAUUUUUCCAAAUACUCCGUUGUGGGGCAAGAUAUGCCAGAAUGUUCAUAAACCCUUGUGGUUCCAUGUGGACAACGAUGCCGUCUGUACAAACAAAUAAACUGAAACAUUAUUUUGCCUUAAAA
Long non-coding RNA from Peromyscus leucopus (white-footed mouse), 3665 nucleotides. RefSeq lists it as uncharacterized. The transcript is spliced from 2 exons. The record is from RefSeq and is a predicted model, not a curated record. Lineage: Eukaryota; Metazoa; Chordata; Mammalia; Rodentia; Cricetidae.